UUUGUUCCUGAGAUAAAUUAGAGGACUCUACUGUAGGCUUUCAAGUAGUUUUAUUCCACGAUCCUCCCCAUACACCAGAAGAGUUAAGCUAGAAGCAGAGCUGUAACUAUGGGAAGGUAAUCUGGAUUUUGUUGCAGAACCUGGAAAUUUUUAAGAUGGAAAGAACUGAACGUGGUACCCAGUUACCAAGAAUGUGGGGAGUUUUUUUGGAUUAGACCUGUGAUCUAUAAUUUUCUUGAUGUUAGAACUCCCCAUCAUGGAAAAGCCCUCAGCCAUAUUAGAAAUGAUUCUUUCUUUGAAUGAGGACUAGACUUUGGUAGAUCCAGAAGAGAAUAUGGAGUUUUUGUGGAUGAUUAAAUUUGGCAUUCAGUGAGAAAAUCUAUGGACUCAAUCUUGCAGAAUGGCUUUGUAAUUCCAGCUGUUGCCCUAGGUAAGUGAAUCCAGUUCCUCUAGGUUGGGGAAAAGAGAAGCUUAGAAAGCUUAAGCAGGGCCAAAUUGUGUCUAAUCUUGAAUGCCCAGCUAGUGUGUGUCCAUUAUUCUUUGCAUAAUGGAGAGCCA
Molecule: long non-coding RNA, 558 nt
Filed under: Monodelphis domestica (gray short-tailed opossum)
Lineage: Eukaryota; Metazoa; Chordata; Mammalia; Didelphimorphia; Didelphidae
Description: lncRNA (ENSMODG00000037486.1)
Source: RNAcentral